UCCAGAAAGGGUAGGCUGAAGCAGCGACAGCAGUGUAACUGUACACGGAAUCCCUUGGGGAGGGAUCUACCUCCCAGUAAAGGCUGCUCCAAUCAGCCUAAUGAAAUAGGAGCACGAACCAAACUUUCUCAGAGCAAUGAUUGGCUGGGCAGUUCUCAUUAUCAAACUCCUUGCAUUUUUCUGGGGGAGGGGGCCCGAAGCGGAGGGUGAAUCAAUCCCCACUCUCUCGGCCACCCAAGGUACCCGGUUGAGGGAAACCUGGGGACUUUUCAACUAAAUCUCUGCUCCUAAGAAAGGUGCUUGCUUUGAGUUAUUUGGGGUGCAGAUGGGGACACGGGAAGACUUUACAUAGUUAUUGGGAGAAAACAAGAUUCUUGGAGGCUGCUUCCAAAAUGAUGAGCUGAGAAGAAACGACAGUUCUGUGGCACGAGCUGAGGACACCAAACAUGACAUACCAAGGAAAGACAGACAAUAGGACACACGGGACCAGUAAGGAGAAAAGACUGAACCCUGUAUAAUCUUCAAAUACCAUGGCCCCAUCCCACGGAAACAAUGAAACAGAGAAGGGCAAACAAGACAAGGCAGUGCAUCAACAGAGUCCCAGGAGUCAGGUGCACCCCUUUCCAUUCCUAGCACUGUUUACAUUCUGCUUCAGCCUGCCAGUGUCAUGGACUGGGUCACAAAGUCUGGUAUGUCCGCAGAUCACAGAACCUAGAAGAGAUCCGAGUUCUAGUGGUGUCCAAAGAUGUGUUGAACCAGCCCUCCCCAGACCUAGGUAUCAACCUAAGAGAUGGGACUUGGAAGGGAUCCACCCUGUGGGGGGUUCCUCUGCUGGACAGAAUCCAAUCAGCUUAGCUGCUAUCAUAGAACCCUCCCUUUUCUUCCCAGCAGGACAGUUGCCACUUCAGUACAAAUAGACUAGGAGGGACCCCAAAGACUGCACAGAGUCCACAACUGGAUCCAGCCUCUUCUCUGCCUUCUCUGUGGGUCCAGUUUCCAUUUGAGAGUCAAUGCCCAGAUUCUGGGCCAGGAUAAAGGUUACAUUUCAUAAGUGUCCCAAAGCUGAGGAGAAAUUACAUAUCCAGAAUUUACUGCAACAACAACAAAAACUAUAUCCCUGCAGGUCAGCAAAACAUCAAGGGUGACACAGACAGCUGGCCAUGGGUCCAUCACGCCUUGCAGUGACACAUGGGGCAGCUCAAAGCAUCCUGACAUGGCAUAACCUCUGAAAGGCUGUGAAACCCAAGGAAGUGCGUCUUACUCAAGGAGAGACUAUAGCUGAAAAGCCAAGGCCAGGCCCCCCCCAAAAUUACUUCCCCCGGAACAUGGGCUUCUGUUUCUGACUCUUCACAUCCGGGCACUGGCUCUCUGAGGGAUGAUUUGGUAUCACUCUAUUUUAACUCCUGGACAUGGCAUGGAAAGGAGAAACCCCUUCCCAUCAGGUGUCAGGACUGGCAAGGCGUAGGCACCUCUCCUGCUGCCAAGACACUGAGGAAGCUGUACUGUCACUCCAAACUUCAAGAUCAGGAGCUAGGCCAAGGCUCCACACAGUUCAUCACUGCCUUGGGUUUCCUCCAAGGAGGAGCACUUUGCAGAGGAUCUGACAACUUCCCAAUUUCAGGACGCUGCCUGUUAGAUGGAUUGUUGAAAUAAGAGACCAAGGUUGCUGGUAUGUAAGGGAACAAAAAGUCAGGACACCACCAUUCAUUUGAAAACCAAAAGUAAAUAAAUAGCUCCCACCCCCCCACACACACACACACACAAUUCCACGGGUAUUUUGGAGAGAAGGAGAGUCAAUAAAGGGUGUAGUCCCCUUUAUGCUCGUCAGGUGCACUCUGAAUUUAAACAUAUGCCUCUCAAAAGGAAGAAGAGCCACCAGUUCCCUCUUCCCACACACUUCAGCCAAGUGUCCUACAAUAGAUUCUGGACCCCAAAUCCUGUGAGAUUUAAUUUAAGCUUUGGGCACAAUACUAGUUGAGAAUGAUCACCUGGCCUGAGGCAAAACCUCCUCCAAACCAAAUCUGAGAAGGUCUCACUUGAUUUGGAAGCAGACACCCAGAGUACCUCUUUUCCCUAACACCAUCUUUAGUAACUCAGGUACCACAGCCUGCUCCAGGGCAUCCAGCACUGGAAAACAUAAAAAUAAACCCUAACACUGUCCUUGCUCACUUCCAUCUGCAGUCCCUUCUUCCUUUCAAGCCAUAACCUUAUUAAUCCAUUAAAACACUAAUCAAAACACACCCUAAUAAGGUAAUAAUAGGUCACUGCUUUGAAACAUGCAAUGCUCUUCAACUAUGAGCCAUUGUCACUUGAAAACUGGAAGCAUAUUGAGGACAAACAAAUUUCUCCUUCCACUGAGUCUCUAUAGAAUCCUGUGCUCUUAUUUGUAUGUAACUUUUAUGUUUUUUAGAAGGACUCUCAUAUGUCACAUUGCCUCUUUCCAGGGGCCCUAGCUGUGAGGAAGAACAGGACUUAUUCCUCUCAUUUUACACUUGAUAAAAGUGAGACAGAGAGUUGCAGUAAUUUAUCCAAGGUCAACAAUAAAUGACAAUGAUUCAUCGAUGACAAGGCCAGAACUUGAACCUGGGCCUUCUGAAGUCAGUUUAGAGGCCACCAAAAUCACAUCAAAUGCAUUAGCUCCGGAAAGCAGUAUGAGUAACACCAGAAUUUUACUAACUCUGGCUUCAGUUGGGUACAUUAUGAAAUUACAUGGCGCUGUUUAAUUCCAACAGUAGUUUUACAUGCAGGAAAGUGGAAGCAUGAUGCUUAGAAAAACAAUUGCCCAGUGCAGCUGGUAUCAGGGUGCUAGGACCAAAGAGUUUCCAGGACCCUCUUUUAGAACCUUAGCCACUGCGUUCACUCACCAAGCUCCCUCUAACCCCCACCCUCCGUUUUUCCUCUCUCCCGUUUUGGUUCUCAGUGACUCCAAGGUUCUCUGGGAAACUGACCUCACCUUUCCACCUGCCUCCGCCCCCCAGACAGGUGGUGGCCAGACCAACUCAGGCCCCAUCCCCCAACACACAGCUAGCCUUCUGACUUAAAUGAAAGAAGCUCAGAUUACCAAGCAACUGUUGUUUAUUCUCAGCUGCACAAGCUCCCUUUUCCGGGAUACCCAACACCUGUCUAUUACUCCUGGAGACCCACAGAGAACAUAGUCCAUUAUUCAGUAGAAACCUUCAGCAGAUAAUUUAAUUGAAAAAUAGCAACUUAAAGGAUAGUUUUCUCUGGGGUGUGAGGUGGAAGAUGUAGGCCCCACUAACCUAUCGUCCUACCUGUCCCAGGAUGCCAAGGGCAGGAAACUCCCAAGAAUACAAGGGUGUCCCCUUCAACACUGUUACUGCAAGACAAAGAGUUCCCAUCUCAAGCCUGGACACAGAGUUUGCCCUGAACAGUAUUCAGAAUGGCCAACCCUAGUCAUUAGUCUUGGUUCCAAGGAAAGUAGCAGGCAUUGGACACAAGUGAGACUUGUUGCUCACAGGGAAGGUGGAAAUAUGGAGGAUAUUAGAACAAGGGGCAAUCUCUAGCUUUGCCUAUUGCUAAACAAUAGAAAUGAGUUGGCAUAGAGUUGGCUACCUCAGGAAAGCAGUUCAGGUCAGGUCAAAGUUUAUCAUUUUAUUUAGAUUGUGAUUAGCAAUCUAAAUAAAAUGAUAAACUUUUACCAAGGGUAAGGCCAGUUAAGGACUAGAAUGCCUUACCAAACCCAGUUAGAGUGGCUUUCUCUUUAAAGGUAACUGGAGCCUCCUUAUAAGCAGGGGAAGGAAAGGGAUUAUCUCUUAAAGGCCCAUACUUACCUUACCGUUUUGGGUCUCUAAGGUCCAGACUCUUAUUAAAGUGAAAGCAAUUUGCUUCUGCCUAAAACAAAGUCUGUCUGAAGGGACCACCACUGGCUUCAGGCAUUUUGAUCACACAUGCUAAACACCUCUCAGAAACCCACAAAUGGCUUUAAUAUCUUGCACAGUGAGCUAGAAAUACAGUGAUCAAACGCACUAGUGAAGCAAGGGACUGGGGUGGAGGAUAUGGGGACAGGAGAAGGAAUUGGAGAGAAUAAUUUAAACUCUACCCAUGGCCUCUCCUCUCCCUUUCACUAAUCCCCAGCAGAAAGCAGCUAGCUACUUAAGAAGGGUCAGAGGAAACUGCACUGGAUUCAUGUGGUUAGAGAAGAAGGGUAGAGUAUAGGAGGCUGACACUGGCUAAACACAAUCUAAAUAAAAUCAUGGUUGACCAUGCCAUCAUGUCCUGCUUCUCUUUUCUGAAGAAAAAGGAGAAAUAAACUUCAAAACCUUGAUGGAGAGUUAGUUCCCCAGAAUACAGCCUGGGGGAAGGGGGGCUGUCAGCCUUGGGGAAUGCCCAAGGUCAGCAGAGGUUGCUUCCAUUAGCCUUCACUGGAGCCAGGGUGAGCAAUGACGUCACCUCAGGAGAAGGACUGCCACCCGAUAAGCC
RNAcentral lists this long non-coding RNA (4440 nucleotides) under Marmota monax (woodchuck). The record is from RNAcentral. Lineage: Eukaryota; Metazoa; Chordata; Mammalia; Rodentia; Sciuridae.